This 483-nucleotide ribosomal RNA is filed under the name uncultured bacterium. RNAcentral describes it as "partial 16S ribosomal RNA". It matches the Rfam family "Bacterial small subunit ribosomal RNA", at positions 30 to 506 of the family's 1533-position model. The record is from RNAcentral.
AUUGGACGCUGGCGGCAGGCCUAACACAUGCAAGUCGAGCGGAUGAAGGGAGCUUGCUCCUGGAUUCAGCGGCGGACGGGUGAGUAAUGCCUAGGAAUCUGCCUGGUAGUGGGGGAUAACGUCCGGAAACGGGCGCUAAUACCGCAUACGUCCUGAGGGAGAAAGUGGGGGAUCUUCGGACCUCACGCUAUCAGAUGAGCCUAGGUCGGAUUAGCUAGUUGGUGGGGUAAAGGCCUACCAAGGCGACGAUCCGUAACUGGUCUGAGAGGAUGAUCAGUCACACUGGAACUGAGACACGGUCCAGACUCCUACGGGAGGCAGCAGUGGGGAAUAUUGGACAGUGGGCGAAAGCCUGAUCCAGCCAUGCCGCGUGUGUGAAGAAGGUCUUCGGAUUGUAAAGCACUUUAAGUUGGGAGGAAGGGCAGUAAGUUAAUACCUUGCUGUUUUGACGUUACCAACAGAAUAAGCACCGGCUAACUUCGU